GCUAGCUAACCCUGUCCAGGGUGUACCCCGCCUUGUGCCCGAUGCUCCCUGGGAUAGGCUCCAGGUUUCCCCGUGACCCUGAAGAAGGAUAAGCGGUAUAGAAGAUGGAUGGAUGGAUGGAAAGCUAGCUAGUAGCCAGUAAUCAAAAUUUUGGUGGCUUAUCAGAUGCUAGCUGCUAACUAGCUACACGAGUUGCAUGUCUUUAAACCUACAAAAUGCAUCAGUUCAUUGAAGUUGGUGUUCAUUCUCUACAGAAUCGCGUUUGAGUCAUAAAUAUCACGACUGAGCUGCUAAUUGCUAGGCUUUUGUUAGGAAAGUGCGAGGAAUACGGUAUGUCUUGACACCGGCAUCGUGUCUGACAGCAUGCUCGUUUAUCAAACUUCCGAUAUGAAAAUACCAGCAUCUGAUACCACAUGAUACUACGCGAUGUAAUCCUAGUGCAUUCUGUUGUGCUGACGAACGGCCGACACGAAAUGACGGCGAUCUGGACGUGUUUCACGCGUCACGUUGACGAGCGAAGCGAAGCAGACCGCAAGCUGACUUGAAAUGAUGAGAAUAUCAGGAGGGAGUAUUUCUACACGUGACCUGAUGGAAACACGGCACGAGGAGUUCAUUAGCUAGAGAUACAAGGCCGCGCAAAGCUGCAGCUCAUGCAGACAAUAUAUCCGCAGACAAGCCUAGUGAAAACCAGCGGCUGAGAAGGUCAUCCUGGACGUCUCUAUCGCAUCCAUAGAUUCCAGAUCUUCCUCGGGGAUCCCCAGUCACUCCAAACUGUGAGAUGUAAUCUCUCCCACAGCUCCAGGGUCUUCAUACAGUGGUACGUGCCUGAUACCGAGGCAUAUAAACAUGCUUGAACCACCUUGACUGGCUCCUCUCAGCUCAGAGGAGCAGCGACUCUACUUCAAGACUCUACUGCGGAUUUCCUCAGCUUACCAAGGAAAGGAAGCGCAGCAGUCCAUGGGGAAGAGCAAAUGUAUUCAGAUCUUUAUUCUUUUAGUAACUAUCUACAUCUUAUGACCAUAUCUGAGGUUCGGAACUGCUUUACCACGACAGACCUCUCUACCGUGAGCGAAACACUGCAGCCGCCGACUCAAUCCGAGCCCCACACGAAUUUAUGGAGAUACUAGAGAUCCAGAUCCUUUCUGCCUCUGGAUGGAGCUCAAAUCUUCUCUAAUUCCAGACUGCUGGGACUACGGCUGCUCUUAACGCCAUACAGACUUCAUAUGAAUCCAUAAUGAACUCUUUC
This is a long non-coding RNA of Ictalurus punctatus (channel catfish), 1246 nucleotides long. Lineage: Eukaryota; Metazoa; Chordata; Actinopteri; Siluriformes; Ictaluridae. The record is from Ensembl.